AAAUAAAGGUCAAAAAAAAUUUUAAAUAGAAACAGAGCCUUGGAUCUGUGCUCAUUCCCCUUGCCCAACAGAAGCCAUGGACAAGCCUUCAGCCUCCUGGCCCCCUGACAGAGCGGACAAGGGUAGAGGAAGGAUCUGGGGUGGCGACGGAAGAUGCUAGCACACCCGGCGAGCCUCAGUCUCCUCGCCAUCAAACAGGCUAUCGAUCCUCCCUUCCUUCUAGGCUGUCACGGUGAUAAAGGAGAAGAUACCCGUGAGGUGUCGACCACUGGCCCAGCACACCCACGGGGCCCAAUCCACACAUCCUAAUGUCUGCUUGGGGAUGUAACAAUUAAUUGGCACCUUGAACUUAGCCUGGCUAAAACUGAAAGCUUGAGAGGCGCCCGAGCGUUCAGCUUUGACUCAGGUCAUGGUCUCGCUGUUCGGUUUCCAAGUUCAAGCCCCGCAUCGGACCCUACUGUCAGAGCAGAGCCGCUUUGGGUCCUCUGUCCCCCUUCCCCGCUCUCUCUGCCCCUCCCCCACUCGCGCGCGCUCUC
Long non-coding RNA from Neofelis nebulosa (Clouded leopard), 536 nucleotides. RefSeq lists it as uncharacterized. The record is from RefSeq and is a predicted model, not a curated record. Lineage: Eukaryota; Metazoa; Chordata; Mammalia; Carnivora; Felidae. The transcript has 2 exons.